RNAcentral lists this ribosomal RNA (579 nucleotides) under Clostridium perfringens. Its description in RNAcentral is "bacterial SSU rRNA". It matches the Rfam family "Bacterial small subunit ribosomal RNA", at positions 1 to 595 of the family's 1533-position model. The record is from RNAcentral. Lineage: Bacteria; Bacillati; Bacillota; Clostridia; Eubacteriales; Clostridiaceae.
UAAAUUGAGAGUUUGAUCCUGGCUCAGGAUGAACGCUGGCGGCGUGCUUAACACAUGCAAGUCGAGCGAUGAAGUUUCCUUCGGGAAACGGAUUAGCGGCGGACGGGUGAGUAACACGUGGGUAACCUGCCUCAUAGAGUGGAAUAGCCUUCCGAAAGGAAGAUUAAUACCGCAUAAUGUUGAAAGAUGGCAUCAUCAUUCAACCAAAGGAGCAAUCCGCUAUGAGAUGGACCCGCGGCGCAUUAGCUAGUUGGUGGGGUAACGGCCUACCAAGGCGACGAUGCGUAGCCGACCUGAGAGGGUGAUCGGCCACAUUGGGACUGAGACACGGCCCAGACUCCUACGGGAGGCAGCAGUGGGGAAUAUUGCACAAUGGGGGAAACCCUGAUGCAGCAACGCCGCGUGAGUGAUGAAGGUUUUCGGAUCGUAAAGCUCUGUCUUUGGGGAAGAUAAUGACGGUACCCAAGGAGGAAGCCACGGCUAACUACGUGCCAGCAGCCGCGGUAAUACGUAGGUGGCGAGCGUUAUCCGGAUUUACUGGGCGUAAAGGGAGCGUAGGCGGAUGAUUAAGUGGGAUGU